This 1732-nucleotide long non-coding RNA is filed under the name Nicotiana benthamiana. Its description in RNAcentral is "long non-coding RNA (NBEN_LNC018093)". Lineage: Eukaryota; Viridiplantae; Streptophyta; Magnoliopsida; Solanales; Solanaceae. The record is from RNAcentral.
UAUAGAAUAACAUCUGGUUAUCCCAUAAUUUUCACAUGGAUAGUUGGACAACUGAUCCUUCAACCUGUUUCUGCAGGUUUUUGCUUCCACUCGAAAUAUCUCAGGUAACACCCAAAUAUUCUGCACAUUUGUAAUUUUAGAUUUCUUCUCCAUGCUAAAGAUUAUACUGCAUAUUAUUGCUAUUUAUAAUUUUACAAAAACCUUUAGUAUUUGCUGAUGAGUAGGUUAUACAACUUCUCUCUGCCCUUUCGGGUAGGGGUAAGGUUUGUCUUACAUAUUACCCUCCCCAGACCCCACCUGGUGGGAGUAUACUGGGUAGUUGUUGUUGUUGUUGUUGUUGUAGGUUAUACAACUUCUACUGUUACUCUACAAGUAAAAGAUGUAAAUUUAGCGGUUGAACUUGAUAUCAUCAAAGCUAUAAUUUCUUUGGAGGUGAAAGUAAUGCAUAAAGUCUUUAUUAUCCGGGUAAUGAAUCAGUAGAUGGAAAGCUAACUAUGGAGAAUGAGACUUUUGAGAAUGUGAUUGCCUAAGAGCUAAGUACAAAGAUCUGGGCUAUUAAUAAUGGAAUUUUUCGAUCACAGCAAUACGUUAAGCCAGGAAAAUACUGUCAGGUUUCACUUGAUAUGUAACAUCUGUAUAGUUUUUCUAUAAAACUUCAUUGAAUAGCAAUUAAUGGUCAAAUAAAAAUCAAAAUGUCAUCUUACCAUCGUCCUUAUAGUGAGGGGAGAAAUGAUUUUCUGAAGACUCUGUGAUGUCUUUAAGGUUUAUCUUGGAAAGAAAUUAUGAAAAAGAAGAAAGUGGAUGAAAGCUUUUUAAACAUUUAGUCUAUCAAAGCAGUUGAAAAUUGAGGUUAGGUUAAUUGUUGCUUGAAGAUUCGUCUUGAUUUGGAUGUCCCAUUUUAACCCUCUUUUCUGCUCUGUCACAAGUCCAUGUUCUUGAUCUCAAUGGUGUUGUUGGUAGUUCUAGAUACAUGCUUGGUAGUAUUUUUUAACUUAUGCAUAACUAAUACUUGUAUUAAUUAUACAUUCUAUUCAAUUAUUUUACAUAGCAAAUUAUGACAUUAGCAAUACCAUAGUUUUUAAUACAUGGAUAAGCACGUAUAAAGAAAAACAACCUGUUAAAACCUAUAAUACACCAACCAAAUCGUCGAUAACAAAGAAUGGGCAAGCAUAGGAGCAAACACUUUUGUGCAUAGUAUGAAUGCAUAAGUUCCUCUUUUCAUUUAGAUCGUUUUAACUUGUGAUUUGUGUAUUUGAGCUAAUUUUAUAUUAUGAUAUAUGCAAGGCCCAUAUGAUAUGUUUUGUUCAUGGAACGUCUAUAUUCUUAGACUUUAAUCCAAUAUAUUUUUGUAUUCUUGGCAAGGUUGCUUCCAUUGAGAGAAGUGUACUUCAGCCGAAGAGUUAAUGGCUUAUUUACAUUUCCCAUGGAUGCAGUAAAAACUAUUGUGAAAUGAAAAAUCUGCCAAAAGAGUUUCCUAUUUCCAGAAUCCAAUAACAAGCUUAGUUGUGGUUACACACACAUACACAUACAUAUAUAUAUAUAUAUAGAAUGUAUUUAUGCAGUGUUAUCGUCCAUUUUCUUAUACUAUAUAUUAUUUGCUAACAGGAUUACUUUUGAUGGAGUACAAUAUGCUUUAAAAUCAAGAUGUCUAAGAUUUGAUUUGACCUUAUGCCACAAAAAGAAGACUUAAGAGCGGCUUGUGUAGGAAUGUGAUGUUUUUAUCAUAAUUCCG